AAACCUACAACUCACCUCCCAUUUGCUGACUGCCUUCAUCAGCACAAACCAGCCUGAACCAGACAACAGAAUACAUCUCAGCAGAGCACAAGGCAAAGGAAACUUAAAUCAAAACCCAAUAUUCGGAAGAAUGGAUCCCAGCCAGUCUUUUAAUCAGCCUCCAGGGGCCUGGAAUUCAUCUGAAAAAUCAGUGAUGUUGUAUCCUUCGGCACCACCACCAGCAUACCAGGCCAAUCCUGCUGGAUAUCCUCCCUCCUUUCCAAGCCAGCCAUUCCCCCAAGGCCCCUACGCCCAGGGGCCGUAUCCAGGACAGCCCAUGGUUGCUGUACAGCCUGCAGUUUUUGUGACAGCCGCUCCACUGGCUAGUCAAGUGCCAGAUUACUUGGGUUACUCUAUUUUUACCAUGCUGUGCUGCUGUUUUCCUCUGGGCAUUGCUGCAAUUAUUUUCUCCUGCUCUGCUCGAAACGCCAACUUCUCUGGACAGCGACAAUUAGCAGAGAGUAACUCCAAAACGGCGCUCAACCUGAAUCAUGCUGCCCUUGGUAUUGGCCUCAUUGUCAUUGUACUGUUGAUUAUUGUUAAUAUUGUGCUUUGAGUUGAUAAAAGCUAAUAGAGCUGUCAUGGUUGGAUGUAGAUUACAAACAGAUUUGAUUCUAUGCAUUGCAAAUGCUGUUUGCUCAAUGUAUCAUUAUAGCCUACUUACAACAUAUGCUUUAAGGCUGAUUAUUGUAUGUUUAGACUUUUUUUUGCUUAUCUUGUGUGCAGCUGUGCUAAUUUGAGCUUUUUACAUAAAUUUUUAUUAUGUACAUGUACUGACAUAAAAUAUAUUCACUGAUUAUAUCUUUCAAAUUACUGUACGUGAAUUCUUUUGUCACUCACACACAACCAGUGGCGGCUCGUCGGGGGAGGCAGGGGAGGCACAGCUUCCCCAUAAUUUUGAGGUGAAAAUGGGAGGAGGACGAUUUAAUGUUAAUAAAAUUCACAAUUCAUUUUUAGUUCAUGUCUCAGAAUGUGUAUUUUUUUGUUAGUAAUUUCACAGUUGUAAUACCAUAACGUGAAAGUGCCGCUUUUCUAUCGCGAAUGUGCCGAAUCUGCUGAUGUAAUUACAACCGCU
RNAcentral lists this long non-coding RNA (1114 nucleotides) under Sinocyclocheilus grahami. RNAcentral describes it as "lncRNA (ENSSGRG00000048089.1)". Lineage: Eukaryota; Metazoa; Chordata; Actinopteri; Cypriniformes; Cyprinidae. The record is from RNAcentral.